Molecule: ribosomal RNA, 253 nt
Filed under: uncultured bacterium
Lineage: Bacteria
Description: partial 16S ribosomal RNA
Rfam family: Bacterial small subunit ribosomal RNA
Source: RNAcentral
UACGGGGGGAGCAAGCGUUGUUCGGAUUUACUGGGCGUAAAGGGCGCGUAGGCGGCCUUCUAAGUCAGACGUGAAAUCCCCCGGCUUAACCUGGGAACUGCGUCUGAUACUGGAAGGCUUGAGUGCGGGAGAGGGAUGUGGAAUUCCAGGUGUAGCGGUGAAAUGCGUAGAUAUCUGGAGGAACACCGGUGGCGAAGGCGGCAUCCUGGACCGACACUGACGCUGAGGCGCGAAAGCUAGGGUAGCAAACGGG